This 491-nucleotide ribosomal RNA is filed under the name uncultured organism. RNAcentral's name for it is "SSU rRNA". It matches the Rfam family "Bacterial small subunit ribosomal RNA", at positions 10 to 509 of the family's 1533-position model. The record is from RNAcentral.
AGUUUGAUCCUGGCUCAGGACGACGCUGGCGGCGUGCUUAACACAUGCAAGUCGAACGAGGAUCAUGGAGAGCUUGCUUGAAAUGAUUCGAGUGGCGGACGGGUGAGUAACGCGUGAAUAAUCUGUCCUAUACAGGGGGAUAACGCAUCGAAAGAUGUGCUAAUACCGCGUAGGACCACGGUGGGGCAUCCCACUGAGGUGAAAGGAGCAAUCCAGUAUAGGGUGAGUUCGCGUCUGAUUAGAUAGUUGGUGAGGUAACGGCCCACCAAGUCAACGAUCAGUAGCCGACCUGAGAGGGUGAUCGGCCACAUUGGGACUGAGACACGGCCCAGACUCCUACGGGAGGCAGCAGUGGGGAAUAUUGGGCAAUGGGCGAAAGCCUGACCCAGCAACGCCGCGUGAAGGAAGAAGGUUUUCGGAUUGUAAACUUCUGUCCUAUGUGAAGAGUGAAAGACGGUAGCAUAGGAGGAAGCCCCGGCUAACUACGUGCC